This is a long non-coding RNA of Haplochromis burtoni (Burton's mouthbrooder), 322 nucleotides long. RefSeq lists it as uncharacterized. The transcript has 4 exons. Lineage: Eukaryota; Metazoa; Chordata; Actinopteri; Cichliformes; Cichlidae. The record is from RefSeq and is a predicted model, not a curated record.
AGUUUCCUCAAAGACAUCAUCAGUAGCAUCAAACUCAGAUGAAGACCGUCCAGGAGAUGAUUCUUCCCCUUCAGACGAUAUCUCAGAACAACCUGUUUACACCACUGUGAUCAUAAACAAGACAGAACAAACUCAAGAACUGGAUUCAGGAUUAUCAUGCUCCACACUGCCCCCGAUUCCCCCAGCAGUUGAAGAGUCGAGUUCUCCAGAGACGGUCAUUUAUUCACCCAUCCAGACAGCCACAAUGAGCAACACCUGAACAGUAAACUGCAGAAAGGAGGCAAACCUGUCAUGAUUCCUGGGUCGUUGACUGAGUGCUUUG